RNAcentral lists this ribosomal RNA (253 nucleotides) under uncultured bacterium. Its description in RNAcentral is "partial 16S ribosomal RNA". It matches the Rfam family "Bacterial small subunit ribosomal RNA", at positions 524 to 776 of the family's 1533-position model. The record is from RNAcentral.
GACGAAGGAUCCAAGCGUUAUCCGGAUUCAUUGGGUUUAAAGGGAGCGUAGGCGGGUUUAUAAGUCAGUGGUGAAAGCCGAUCGCUUAACGAUCGAACUGCCAUUGAUACUGUAGACCUAGAGUACAGAUGAGGUUGGCGGAAUAUGACAUGUAGCGGUGAAAUGCAUAGAUAUUGGGAAGAACACCUGAGGCGAAGGCGGGUUGCUGGGCCGACACUGACGCUGAUGCGCGAAAGCCAGGGGAGCGAACGGG